This is a long non-coding RNA of Anolis sagrei ordinatus, 820 nucleotides long. RefSeq lists it as uncharacterized. Lineage: Eukaryota; Metazoa; Chordata; Lepidosauria; Squamata; Anolidae. The record is from RefSeq and is a predicted model, not a curated record.
GCGCAGAGGUGGAGGAAGUGGUAGAGGAUGAUAGUCCUUCCCUAGCGACAAGAACCCAUCCUCCUCCUCGCCCACCUCCUCCACCCACCAACUCUCUUGACUUGUACUACAAAGUAAGCUGCCCCCUCCUCGCUUGUGCUAUUUCGAGGAGACCAUGGCGCAGGAGCUAUAUUUGAAAUCCAACUGGAGGUAAACAAGACCGCAGCACGAGUGGAUGGAGCACAACAGCUGCGAGAGAGAGGUGAAUCGCCCCACGCGGAAGGAGAGCGGGGAGAGGCCGGGCUUGGGAAGGGAAGCCGUGCCCGGUCCACGCGAGAGAGACCACCAAGGGCGAAGAAGGGCUGCUUUCACUUCGAAUUGAACCCAAACAGGGCGCCCCUUCGAACCGCCCUCCUCCUUCUUCUAGAAGAGGACCUGGGGCCACCUCACCCUUACUAUUCCUUUGAAAUUAAAGAGGACCUAAUGUGUGGGUGAGGACAUACUUUGCCUUUCUCCAGGCAAAAUGUAGCUGCAUGGAUACUUUUGAUAUUUUAUCCUUUUACCUUCCUUGGAAGAUGAUCUUAGAAGGCUAGUUAGCUCCAAGACCCUUUUCUAUCGAGAAUGGAUUUCUUCUUACUUCAGUAAAUAUUUUGAACCUGAAGUUGUGACUUUUCAAUCCUGUGCCAUCCUGUUGAAUGGAAGCUAAUCCUGACUCACCACAUGUAAGUCUUGUCCUGGCAUUGAAUGUUUGUCGUAUAUAUGCUGUGCACCGCCCUGAGUCCCCUUCAAGGUGAGAAGAGCAGAAUAUAAAUGUUUUAAAUAAAUAAAUAAAUAAAUAUGU